This 1263-nucleotide ribosomal RNA is filed under the name metagenome. RNAcentral's name for it is "SSU rRNA". It matches the Rfam family "Eukaryotic small subunit ribosomal RNA", at positions 526 to 1783 of the family's 1831-position model. The record is from RNAcentral.
UAAACGGACCAUCGAGUAUCCAUUGGAGGGCAAGUCUGGUGCCAGCAGCUGCGGUAAUACCAGCUCCAAUAGCGUAUAUUAAAGUUGUUGCAGUUAAAAAGCUCGUAGUUGGACCUGUGUGCGCUGUCCGCGGGUGGCCUGCGCCCAAAAGGGCGUUUCGGUUCGGCCCCGGUGGCGCCUUGAAAUCUGCAGCUGGGGGGACGUUGGCCCUAACUGGUCGGCGACCGCACGCCGGCUGCUCGGUUACUGUGAGAAAAUUAGAGUGUUCAAGGCAGGCAUUGGGUGCAAUUGAAUACAUUAGCAUGGAAUAAUAAAAUAUGGCUCCUGCCGUAUUUUGUUGGUUUUGACUGGUGGGAGUAAUGAUUGAUAGGGACGGUUGGGGGUGCUAGUAUUGAGCGGCCAGAGGUGAAAUUCAUGGAUUCGCUCAAGACUAACUUAUGCGAAAGCAUUCACCAAGGACGUCCUCUUUAAUCAAGAACGAAAGUUGGGGGAUCGAAGACGAUCAGAUACCGUCGUAGUCUCAACCAUAAACUAUGUCGACUUGGGAUCGGCGGUAGUUUUUUCAUUAAGACACUGUCGGGACCACGGGAGAAAUCAAAGUGUCUGGACUCUGGGGGAAGUAUGGUCGCAAGGCUGAAACUUGAAGGAAUUGACGGAAGGGCACCACCAGGAGUGGAGCCUGCGCUUAAUUUGACCCAACACGGGGAAACUUACCAGGUCCAGAGAUGUAGAGGAUUGACAGAUUGAAGCUCUUUCUUGAUCACUUCGGUGGUGGUGCAUGGCCGUUCUUAGUUGGUGGAGUGAUUUGUCUGGUUAAUUCCGUUAGCGAACGAGACCUCAGCCUGCUAGUGUAGUCGGCUAGAUUGCCUUUGGCGAUCCGUGAUUUCGACUUCUUAGAGGGACAAUCGACGCGCAGUCGAUGGAAGUUUGAGGCAAUAACAGGUCUGUGAUGCCCUUAGAUGUUCUGGGCCGCACGCGCGCUACACUGCUGGGCUCAGCGAGUUUUACUUGGCCGAGAGGCCCGGUUAAUCUUGUGAAAUCCCAGCGUGCUUGGGCUCGCCUCCUGCAACUGGAGGCGCCAACGAGGAAUUCCUAGUAGACGCAGGUCAUCAACCUGCAUCGAUUACGUCCCUGCCCUUUGUACACACCGCCCGUCGUUCCAUAAGAGUGAGGCAUCCGGUGAAUUCUCGGGAGAGCCUGGGCGUGGCCAGCAAUGGUCUGCUCGGGUUUGAACUUGCAUAAACUUGGUGCCUAUGAUUAGGG